UACCAGCACCCCGAGUGGUCGGGACGAUUAUUGGGCCUAAAGCAUCCGUAGCCGGUCCUGCAAGUCUUCCGUUAAAUCCAGCUGCUCAACAGAUGGGCUGCGGGAGAUAUUACAGGGCUAGGAGGCGGGAGAGGCAAGCGGUACUUUAUGGGUAGGGGUAAAAUCCGCUGAUCCAUAGAAGACCACCAGUGGCGAAGGCGGCUUGCCAGAACGCGCUCGACGGUGAGGGAUGAAAGCUGGGGGAGCAAACCGG
RNAcentral lists this ribosomal RNA (253 nucleotides) under uncultured bacterium. Its description in RNAcentral is "partial 16S ribosomal RNA". It matches the Rfam family "Archaeal small subunit ribosomal RNA", at positions 474 to 727 of the family's 1478-position model. The record is from RNAcentral.